Molecule: ribosomal RNA, 536 nt
Filed under: Colletotrichum gloeosporioides
Lineage: Eukaryota; Fungi; Ascomycota; Sordariomycetes; Glomerellales; Glomerellaceae
Description: eukaryotic LSU rRNA
Rfam family: 5.8S ribosomal RNA (bases 173-326)
Source: RNAcentral
CUGAGUUUACGCUCUAUAACCCUUUGUGAACAUACCUAUAACUGUUGCUUCGGCGGGUAGGGUCUCCGCGACCCUCCCGGCCUCCCGCCUCCGGGCGGGUCGGCGCCCGCCGGAGGAUAACCAAACUCUGAUUUAACGACGUUUCUUCUGAGUGGUACAAGCAAAUAAUCAAAACUUUUAACAACGGAUCUCUUGGUUCUGGCAUCGAUGAAGAACGCAGCGAAAUGCGAUAAGUAAUGUGAAUUGCAGAAUUCAGUGAAUCAUCGAAUCUUUGAACGCACAUUGCGCCCGCCAGCAUUCUGGCGGGCAUGCCUGUUCGAGCGUCAUUUCAACCCUCAAGCUCUGCUUGGUGUUGGGGCCCUACAGCUGAUGUAGGCCCUCAAAGGUAGUGGCGGACCCUCCCGGAGCCUCCUUUGCGUAGUAACUUUACGUCUCGCACUGGGAUCCGGAGGGACUCUUGCCGUAAAACCCCCCAAUUUUCCAAAGGUUGACCUCGGAUCANGUAGGAAUACCCGCUGAACUUAAGCAUAUCAAUA